Perca flavescens (yellow perch) is the source of this 342-nucleotide long non-coding RNA. RefSeq lists it as uncharacterized. NCBI's taxonomy places the organism in Eukaryota, Metazoa, Chordata, Actinopteri, Perciformes, Percidae. The transcript is spliced from 2 exons. The record is from RefSeq and is a predicted model, not a curated record.
ACAAAAUAUAUAUUUUCAACACCGAAGGCUUGAUACUGUGGCAGAUUUAUUGCACAAAAUGUAGACCUUUAGUCAGAUUUAAAAAUGUCAAUCUCUAUGUUUUUUUUAGGAGUAGCAGGCCAACACUCAUCUGUCCAAGUGCAGGAAGGUGCAGCAUGAGCUGGAGGAGGCUGAGGAGCGCGCUGACAUCGCAGAGUCCCAGGUCAACAAGUUGAGAGCGAAGAGCCGUGACUCUGGCAAGGGAAAAGACGCAGCUGAGUAAAGAACUUGAGCUGAUGGGCUGUUUGUAAUCAUAUAAUAUUAUGUGAAAUAUACCACAAUAAAAAAGAUUUUUAUUUUAAA